AUCUUUUUAGUAUAAUGUAUAUUUGGCUUCCAACCAAAAGGUCUAAAAUUUUUAGAAAAGAUA
RNAcentral lists this transfer RNA (63 nucleotides) under Neopetrolisthes maculatus (porcelain anemone crab). RNAcentral's name for it is "tRNA-Gly". Lineage: Eukaryota; Metazoa; Arthropoda; Malacostraca; Decapoda; Porcellanidae. The record is from RNAcentral.